UCCACGCCGUAAACGAUGAAUACUCGUUGUCUGCGAUAUACUGUAGGCGACUGAGCGAAAGCAUUAAGUAUUCCACCUGGGGAGUACGUUCGCAAGAAUGAAACUCAAAGGAAUUGACGGGGGCCCGCACAAGCGGAGGAACAUGUGGUUUAAUUCGAUGAUACGCGAGGAACCUUACCCGGGUUUAAAUGCAGGACGUAAGACCGAGAAAUCGGUCCCCCUUCGGGCGGACU
RNAcentral lists this ribosomal RNA (233 nucleotides) under uncultured bacterium. RNAcentral describes it as "partial 16S ribosomal RNA". It matches the Rfam family "Bacterial small subunit ribosomal RNA", at positions 794 to 1032 of the family's 1533-position model. The record is from RNAcentral.